Magnolia sinica is the source of this 571-nucleotide long non-coding RNA. RefSeq lists it as uncharacterized. The transcript is spliced from 3 exons. The record is from RefSeq and is a predicted model, not a curated record. NCBI's taxonomy places the organism in Eukaryota, Viridiplantae, Streptophyta, Magnoliopsida, Magnoliales, Magnoliaceae.
GAAAAAAUAAAGUUGAUUCAGAGUAGUAAUCCAACAUCUCGGAUGACCAAUGUAGAUGAUGCCCUUACACAGUCAAUUGUGAGUGAUAGUAGAGGGCACAUGCGGGGUAUAGGUGGAAAUGUAGGCAAGAUUGCAUUGAGGAAGACAAUCCCUAUUGUAGAUAAGCUCAAUAUGGUGAUGUAGGACCAAGAUAAUUUGAAGGAGGAAGUAGGUGAAAUGAAGAAAAUCCUGGUCGACCUCCAUAUGAAGGUUAAUUGUAUUGUAGAAAAGCAAGGGGAACAGGGGGUUGUGGAUCCACCGACAAUACCUCCAUUUAAAUAUAGUCAUGCCUUGUCGGUAUCCUGAUUUGAUACAUAUUGGCAAGAGAUGCAAUCUUUGCGAUUGGAAGAAACGGGUAGUUGCUCGUGGUGAGGUGCAUGAAGUUGAUCCAACUGCCCAUGUCCAUAGAGCAGAUCUGGGUGAAGGAAAUUUUAGUGUUGUGUUGAUCGAGAUUAAAGCUUCAGACUCAGAGUUGUGGAAGGAAGAUGGUUAUCAUCAUACACUUGGAGAGGUCGGCGUAGGAGGAUUUGUU